ACGGAUGGUCAUGCGUCGCAUUAGCUAGUUGGCGGGGUAACGGCCCACCAAGGCGACGAUGCGUAGGGGUUCUGAGAGGAAGGUCCCCCGCACUGGUACUGAGACACGGACCAGACUCCUACGGGAGGCAGCAGUGAGGAAUAUUGGUCAAUGGCCGCAGGGCUGAACCAGCCAAGUCGCGUGAGGGAUGACGGUCCUAUGGAUUGUAAACCUCUUUUGUCAGGGAGCAAAGGGCGCCACGUGUGGCGCUUUGCGAGUACCUGAAGAAAAAGCAUCGGCUAACUCCGUGCCAGCAGCCGCGGUAAUACGGAGGAUGCGAGCGUUAUCCGGAUUUAUUGGGUUUAAAGGGUGCGCAGGCGGAAUGUCAAGUCAGCGGUAAAAUUUCGGGGCUCAACCCCGUCGUGCCGUUGAAACUGGCGUUCUUGAGUGAGCGAGAAGUAUGCGGAAUGCGUGGUGUAGCGGUGAAAUGCAUAGAUAUCACGCAGAACUCCGAUUGCGAAGGCAGCAUACCGGCGCUCAACUGACGCUCAUGCACGAAAGCGUGGGUAUCGAACAGGAUUAGAUACCCUGGUAGUCCACGCAGUAAACGAUGAAUACUAACUGUCCGGGCAGAAUGAUGCCUGG
RNAcentral lists this ribosomal RNA (624 nucleotides) under uncultured bacterium. Its description in RNAcentral is "bacterial SSU rRNA". It matches the Rfam family "Bacterial small subunit ribosomal RNA", at positions 221 to 842 of the family's 1533-position model. The record is from RNAcentral.